RNAcentral lists this unclassified non-coding RNA (303 nucleotides) under uncultured fungus. RNAcentral describes it as "partial contains small subunit ribosomal RNA, internal transcribed spacer 1, and 5.8S ribosomal RNA". The stretch from base 1 to 73 matches the Rfam family "Eukaryotic small subunit ribosomal RNA", at positions 1759 to 1831 of the family's 1831-position model. The record is from RNAcentral. Lineage: Eukaryota; Fungi.
GCAAACUUGGUCAUUUAGAGGAAGUAAAAGUCGUAACAAGGUUUCCGUAGGUGAACCUGCGGAAGGAUCAUUACUGAGUGAGGGCCCCCCCGGGGGUCCAACCUCCCACCCGUGUUUAUCGUACCUUGUUGCUUCGGCGGGCCCGCCUCACGGCCGCCGGGGGGCCUCCGCCCCCGGGCCCGCGCCCGCCGAAGACACCAAAUCGAACCCUGCCUGAAGCAUUGCAGUCUGAGCAGAUUUAGUAAAAUCGUUAAAACUUUCAACAACGGAUCUCUUGGUUCCGGCAUCGAUGAAGAACGCAGC